Molecule: small RNA, 123 nt
Filed under: Marmota monax (woodchuck)
Lineage: Eukaryota; Metazoa; Chordata; Mammalia; Rodentia; Sciuridae
Source: RNAcentral
GCUGGGUGUGGUGACACACACCUGUAAUCCCAGGACUCAGGAGGCUGAGGCAGGAGGAUUUCGAGUUCAAAGCCAGCCUCAGCAAAAGUGAGGCACUAAGCAACUCGGUGAAACCUGUCUCCA